Molecule: ribosomal RNA, 500 nt
Filed under: uncultured bacterium
Lineage: Bacteria
Description: partial 16S ribosomal RNA
Rfam family: Bacterial small subunit ribosomal RNA
Source: RNAcentral
AUUGAACGCUGGCGGAAUGCUUUACACAUGCAAGUCGAACGGCAGCACGGACUCCGGUCUGGUGGCGAGUGGCGAACAGGUGAGUAAUGUAUCGGAACGUGCCCAGUCGUGGGGGAUCACGUAGUGAAAAUUACGCUAAUACCGCAUACGAUCUAUGGAUGAAAGCGGGGGAUCGCAAGACCUCGCGCGAUUGGAGCGGCCGAUAUCAGAUUAGGUAGUUGGUGGGGUAAAGGCCCACCAAGCCAACGAUCUGUAGCUGGUCUGAGAGGACGACCAGCCACACUGGAACUGAGACACGGUCCAGACUCCUACGGGAGGCAGCAGUGGGGAAUUUUGGACAAUGGGCGAAAGCCUGAUCCAGCCAUUCCGCGUGCAGGAUGAAGGCCCUCGGGUUGUAAACUGCUUUUGUACAGAACGAAAAGGUUUCUACUAAUACUAGGAGCUCAUGACGGUACUGUAAGAAUAAGCACCGGCUAACUACGUGCCAGCCGCCGCAGUAA